UAGGGAAUAUUGGACAAUGGACGCAAGUCUGAUCCAGCCAUGCCGCGUGCAGGAUGACAGCCCUCUGGGUUGUAAACUGCUUUUAUAUGAGAAGAAACCCUCAGAUGCGUUUGAGGCUGACGGUAUCAUAUGAAUAAGGAUCGGCUAACUUCGUGCCAGCAGCCGCGGUAAGACGAAGGAUCCAAGCGUUGUCCGGAUUUACUGGGUUUAAAGGAUGCGUAGGCGGACACUUAAGCCAGUGGUGAAAUCCCAUAGCUCAACUAUGGAACUGCCAUUGGAACUGUGUGUCUUGAAUUCGGUUGAGGUAGAUGGAAUAUAACAUGUAGCGGUGAAAUGCUUAGAUAUGUUAU
This 350-nucleotide ribosomal RNA is filed under the name uncultured bacterium. RNAcentral describes it as "bacterial SSU rRNA". It matches the Rfam family "Bacterial small subunit ribosomal RNA", at positions 355 to 702 of the family's 1533-position model. The record is from RNAcentral.